Long non-coding RNA from Amblyraja radiata (thorny skate), 161 nucleotides. RefSeq lists it as uncharacterized. The record is from RefSeq and is a predicted model, not a curated record. The transcript has 2 exons. NCBI's taxonomy places the organism in Eukaryota, Metazoa, Chordata, Chondrichthyes, Rajiformes, Rajidae.
UAACAGGAGAGGUGAUUCAGUGGCCUCUACAUCAAAGAAGCAAAAAGGUGGGAAAUUAACUCAAGUGGGCAUGUUCCUCAAAAGACUUUGGCCAGGCACGUCAUCAAAGAAAGAUGGUCAGAACACAGGAACAGCGACAGAAAAGCAAAGUGGGAUUGAGA